AUUGAACGCUGGCGGAAUGCUUUACACAUGCAAGUCGAACGGCAGCACGGGGGCAACCCUGGUGGCGAGUGGCGAACGGGUGAGUAAUACAUAGGAACAUACCCAGUAAUGGGGGAUAACGCCGAGAAAUCGGUGCUAAUACCGCAUACGCCCUAAGGGGGAAAGCGGGGGAUCUUCGGACCUCGCGUUAUUGGAUUGGCCUAUGUCUGAUUAGCUAGUUGGUGAGGUAAAGGCUCACCAAGGCGACGAUCCGUAGCUGGUCUGAGAGGAUGAUCAGCCACACCGGAACUGAGACACGGUCCGGACUCCUACGGGUGGCUG
Molecule: ribosomal RNA, 321 nt
Filed under: uncultured Pseudomonadota bacterium
Lineage: Bacteria; Pseudomonadati; Pseudomonadota
Description: bacterial SSU rRNA
Rfam family: Bacterial small subunit ribosomal RNA
Source: RNAcentral